AUAAUGAUUAAAAGAUUAAAUUACCUUAGGGAUAACAGCGUAAUUUUUUUUGAGAGUUCUAAUCGAAAAAAAAGUUUGCGACCUCGAUGUUGGAUUAAAAUUAAUUUUUGGUGUAGAAGCUAAGAAUUUUAGGUCUGUUCGACCUUUAAAAUUUUACAUGAUCUAAGUUUAAACCGGUGUGAGCCAGGUUGGUUUUUAUCUUUAAAUGAAUAAUAUAUUUUAGUACGAAAGGAUCA
Molecule: ribosomal RNA, 236 nt
Filed under: Anoplophora glabripennis (Asian longhorned beetle)
Lineage: Eukaryota; Metazoa; Arthropoda; Insecta; Coleoptera; Cerambycidae
Description: large subunit ribosomal RNA
Rfam family: Bacterial large subunit ribosomal RNA (bases 1-200)
Source: RNAcentral